GUGGGGAAUCUUCCGCAAUGGACGAAAGUCUGACGGAGCAACGCCGCGUGAGUGAUGAAGGUCUUCGGAUUGUAAAGCUCUGUUAAUCGGGACGAAAGAGCCUAGUGUGAAUAAUGCUAGGAAGUGACGGUACCGGAAUAGAAAGUCACGGCUAACUACGUGCCAGCAGCCGCGGUAAUACGUAGGUGGCAAGCGUUGUCCGGAAUUAUUGGGCGUAAAGCGCGCGCAGGCGGAUCUGCCAGUCUGUCUUAAAAGUUCGGGGCUUAACCCCGUGAUGGGAUGGAAACUACAGAUCUAGAGUAUCGGAGAGGAAAGUGGAAUUCCUAGUGUAGCGGUGAAAUGCGUAGAUAUUAGGAAGAACACCAGUGGCGAAGGCGACUUUCUGGACGAAAACUGACGCUGAGGCGCGAAAGCCAGGGGAGCGAACGGGAUUAGAAACCCGGGUAGUCC
Molecule: ribosomal RNA, 450 nt
Filed under: uncultured bacterium
Lineage: Bacteria
Description: partial 16S ribosomal RNA
Rfam family: Bacterial small subunit ribosomal RNA
Source: RNAcentral